RNAcentral lists this ribosomal RNA (373 nucleotides) under uncultured organism. RNAcentral's name for it is "partial 16S ribosomal RNA". It matches the Rfam family "Bacterial small subunit ribosomal RNA", at positions 527 to 896 of the family's 1533-position model. The record is from RNAcentral.
GUAGGUGGCAAGCGUUAUCCGGAAUUAUUGGGCGUAAAGCGCGCGCAGGCGGUUUCUUAAGUCUGAUGUGAAAGCCCACGGGCUCAACCGUGGAGGGUCAUUGGAAACUGGGGAACUUGAGUGCAGAAGAGAAAAGCGGAAUUCCACGUGUAGCGGUGAAAUGCGUAGAGAUGUGGAGGAACACCAGUGGCGAAGGCGGCGUUUUUGGUCUGUAACUGACGCUGAGGCGCGAAAGCGUGGGGAGCAAACAGGAUUAGAUACCCUGGUAGUCCACGCCGUAAACGAUGAGUGCUAAGUGUUAGAGGGUUUCCGCCCUUUAGUGCUGCAGCUAACGCAUUAAGCACUCCGCCUGGGGAGUACGGUCGCAAGACUG